Molecule: ribosomal RNA, 446 nt
Filed under: uncultured bacterium
Lineage: Bacteria
Description: partial 16S ribosomal RNA
Rfam family: Bacterial small subunit ribosomal RNA
Source: RNAcentral
CCUACGGGGUGCAGCAGUCGAGAAUCAUUCACAAUGGGGGAAACCCUGAUGGUGCGACGCCGCGUGGGGGAAUGAAGGUCUUCGGAUUGUAAACCCCUGUCAUGUGGGAGCAAAUUAAAAAGAUAGUACCACACGAGGAAGAGACGGCUAACUCUGUGCCAGCAGCCGCGGUAAUACAGAGGUCUCAAGCGUUGUUCGGAAUCACUGGGCGUAAAGCGUGCGUAGGCUGUUUCGUAAGGCGUGUGUGAAAGGCGCGGGCUCAACCCGCGGACGGCACAUGAUACUGCGAGACUAGAGUAAUGGAGGGGGAACCGGAAUGCUCGGUGUAGCAGUGAAAUGCGUAGAUAUCGAGAGGAACACUCGUGGCGAAGGCGGGUUCCUGGACAUUAACUGACGCUGAGGCACGAAGGCCAGGGGAGCGAAAGGGAUUAGAUACCCCUGUAGUC